AUGCAGUCGACGCCGAACCGCCUUCGGGUGGGGAGGAGUGGCGAACGGGUGAGUAACACGUGGGCAAUCUGCCCUGCACUCUGGGAUAACUCCGGGAAACCGGAGCUAAUACCGGAUACGACUCUCCAGGGCAUCCUGGGGGGUGGAAAGCUCCGGCGGUGCAGGAUGAGCCCGCGGCCUAUCAGCUGGUUGGUGGGGUGAUGGCCUACCAAGGCGACGACGGGUAGCCGGCCUGAGAGGGCGACCGGCCACACUGGGACUGAGACACGGCCCAGACUCCUACGGGAGGCAGCAGUGGGGAAUAUUGCACAAUGGGCGCAAGCCUGAUGCAGCGACGCCGCGUGAGGGAUGACGGCCUUCGGGUUGUAAACCUCUUUCAGCAGGGAAGAAGCGUGAGUGACGGUACCUGCAGAAGAAGCACCGGCUAACUACGUGCCAGCAGCCGCGGUAAUACGUAGGGUGCGAGCGUUGUCCGGGAAUUAUUGGGCGUAAAGAGCUCGUAGGCGGCUUGUCGCGUCGGAUGUGAAAGCCCGGGGCUUAACCCCGGGUCUGCAUUCGAUACGGGCAGGCUAGAGUUCGGUAGGGGAGAUCGGAAUUCCUGGUGUAGCGGUGAAAUGCGCAGAUAUCAGGAGGAA
This 635-nucleotide ribosomal RNA is filed under the name Streptomyces sp. Its description in RNAcentral is "bacterial SSU rRNA". It matches the Rfam family "Bacterial small subunit ribosomal RNA", at positions 55 to 706 of the family's 1533-position model. The record is from RNAcentral. Lineage: Bacteria; Bacillati; Actinomycetota; Actinomycetes; Kitasatosporales; Streptomycetaceae.